This 465-nucleotide ribosomal RNA is filed under the name Triticum aestivum (bread wheat). RNAcentral describes it as "partial small subunit ribosomal RNA". Lineage: Eukaryota; Viridiplantae; Streptophyta; Magnoliopsida; Poales; Poaceae. The record is from RNAcentral.
AUGCGGCGCUUGCUUGAACAUCCCAGAGCCACCGGCGUGCCAAAAUUCACGCAGGAGACCAGUCGAGGAGAGAUCCGCCAAGCUGGAGUACCUGAACGUCUUCUUCAAGUACUCCACUUUUUUUUUCUUGCGGAGAAAAAGGUGGAAUACUUGAAGAAGAUUUUCAGGUCGUCCAUUAGAAAUCUCACCAUAUUAACCCAAAACCGUGCUGCAUCCCGCAGAGGUGAGGCCAGCUAUCUUCAAUUCUGCACUGUAGGCUGUUAUCUAUCAUCAACGUUUCUUAUGUUUUGCUUUGCUGCCAGUUCAUUCAAGUUCAAGGCAGGCAUGCGCUUUUGGGCAGAUCAUAGUUUGUUAACGGUGAUGUGCUCUAGGUCUAGGUUUGUUGAUUUAUCUGCCCUGAUAAUUUUAAUCCUUAAUCCUGAUAGUUAUUCAGUAGGGAUGAUAGCUUGGCAAAACUAUGGAUAA